GCAAAGGACAUGAUAACUCAAAUAGUGCAGUAGCUCAGGGAAAUCAAGCAGCAGACACAGCAGCGAAACAGGCAGCAGGGUACACUCCGCGAGUAAUGAUGAAUUCACCAACAUUCGGAGAAAUGAAGAACCUGCACCCGUUGGACCAGAACCUGCCCCAGGCGGUGUGGGUGCUCCUGAAGGUCAUCAAGCGAAAGUGGUCGGAGCCAAGGUGAACAGGUCCUCAUCAGGUGGUGGAGAGAACAAGCCAUGCGGUCCGCCUGAGGGACAAAGGAGAGACGUGGUACCAUUGGAGCCAGUGUACACCAGCACAGGAGCCAGGGAGGUCACUGACGGACCUCAUCCAAACCGGGAAGGAGGAGCUUGCCCCAGUGUGGACGGAAGGAGGACCAAAACCAGUCGGGCCGGUGCCAGGAGCGGACCCCAGGAUACUGCGGGACUACGAGCGAGAGAAGAAGACAAAGGACGGCGCCAGGGGAAUAGCCUUUUAGGGGAAGGAACUGAAGAACACUAACAAAAGGGGUAUAGGACACCGAGUGGCUCCUACCACUCGUACCAAGAUGACAGGGUUACAGAGAAAGGUCUGGGGAGAUGAGAAUAGAAUGAAGUGGUACAUGGACAUUGGUGGAAUAAUGAUGUGUGUUGUAUGUUGUUACAGGUUUCCCAGGUUGGCAUCGGGUCUUCAUUCCCCCAAUGACUUCGUUGCCAGCCUUCUCAUAAGGACUCACUUCAUGUUCAAAGAUUACAGUGAUGGUCUGAAAUCUUCUUGUACCAGACACAUAUCUGGUUGCCUUCUGUUCCAUCAUUUAGAAUUAACACCAACACAGAGGUUGCUCUUCAGCCAGUCACAGAAGAGGUGGUGGUCCCAUCCACCAAUGGGGUGUCAGAUGAGAAGGAAGUGUUGGAACACAAUGGGACAGGAAUUCUCUUCAUCCUGGACUU
This is a long non-coding RNA of Esox lucius (northern pike), 942 nucleotides long. Lineage: Eukaryota; Metazoa; Chordata; Actinopteri; Esociformes; Esocidae. The record is from Ensembl.